Molecule: ribosomal RNA, 642 nt
Filed under: uncultured euryarchaeote
Lineage: Archaea; Methanobacteriati; Methanobacteriota
Description: bacterial SSU rRNA
Rfam family: Archaeal small subunit ribosomal RNA
Source: RNAcentral
CUGCUCAGUAACACGUGGAUAACCUACCCUCAGAUCUGGGAUAACUCCGGGAAACUGGAGAUAAUACCGGAUAAUCCGUGAACGCUGGAAUGCCUUACGGUUGAAAGCUUUAGCGUCUGAGGAUGGGUCUGCGGCCGAUUAGGUAGUUGCUGGGGUAACGUCCCAACAAGCCGAUAAUCGGUACGGGUUGUGAGAGCAAGAGCCCGGAGAUGGAUUCUGAGACACGAAUCCAGGUCCUACGGGGCGCAGCAGGCGCGAAAACUUUACACUGCGCGAAAGCGCGAUAAGGGGACCUCGAGUGCGUGCGCAAAGCGUACGCUUUUCAGAUGCCUAAAAAGCAUCUGGAAUAAGGGCCGGGCAAGACCGGUGCCAGCCGCCGCGGUAACACCGGCGGCUCAAGUGGUGGCCGCUAUUAUUGGGCUUAAAGGGUCCGUAGCCGGACCAGUUAGUCCCUUGGGAAAUCUUACGGCUUAACCGUAAGGCUGCCAAUGGAUACUGCUGGUCUUGGGACCGGGAGAGGCAAGAGGUACCUCAGGGGUAGGAGUGAAAUCCUGUAAUCCUUGAGGGACCGCCAGUGGCGAAGGCGUCUUGCUAGAACGGGUCCGACGGUGAGGGACGAAAGCUAGGGGCACGAACCGGAUU